This 468-nucleotide ribosomal RNA is filed under the name uncultured bacterium. RNAcentral describes it as "partial 16S ribosomal RNA". It matches the Rfam family "Bacterial small subunit ribosomal RNA", at positions 28 to 507 of the family's 1533-position model. The record is from RNAcentral.
GACGAACGCUGGCGGCGUGCUUAACACAUGCAAGUCGAACGGAAAGGCCCUGCUUUUGUGGGGUGCUCGAGUGGCGAACGGGUGAGUAACACGUGAGUAACCUGCCCUUGACUUUGGGAUAACUUCAGGAAACUGGGGCUAAUACCGGAUAGGAGCUCCUGCUGCAUGGUGGGGGUUGGAAAGUUUCGGCGGUUGGGGAUGGACUCGCGGCUUAUCAGCUUGUUGGUGGGGUAGUGGCUUACCAAGGCUUUGACGGGUAGCCGGGCUGAGAGGGUGACCGGCCACAUUGGGACUGAGAUACGGCCCAGACUCAUACGGGAGGCAGCAGUGGGGAAUAUUGCACAAUGGGCGGAAGCCUGAUGCAGCAACGCCGCGUGCGGGAUAACGGCCUUCGGGUUGUAAACCGCUUUCGCCUGUGACGAAGCGUGAGUGACGGUAAUGGGUAAAGAAGCACCGGCUAACUACGUG